UCCAACGCGUGCAAUUUUUCUUCGUUAAGUUUGUACCAAGUAAGGUUCUUAAGAAACAUUUUUGUCAAAGUACAGUUCUGAUGAUGGGUUUCAUGAAGAAUCGAGGGAAUUCCUAAAAUCUUAUAGGCAUACAUGUAAUAAUUUCUGGGAUUUUAUUUACAUAUCAAGCAUUUUUAUUAAAAAAUUGUCAUUUGACUAAGUGUAACAGCUGAUGUUGACCAGAAUGGAACUCGCCAAGUCGCGCGCGAUUUGUUUUAUUAGUUAAGUUUGUAGCAAGUAAGUUUUAAGUACUAAGGUUUUUAGGAACAUUCGUGUCAAGGUAAAGGUCUGAUGAUGGGUCCCAUGAAGAAUCGAGAGAAUUUCUUAAAAGUUAUAGGUAUAUAUAUAGUACUUAUUGGAUUUUCAUCAACAUAUUAUCAAGUUUUAUUCACAAAAGUGACAUUUGAUGAUGUGGAACUACUGAUGUUGACCAAAACGGAACUCCAACGCGCGCAAUUUUUCUUCGUUGUUAAGUUUGUAGCGAGUAAGGUUCUCAAGAAACAUUUUUGUCGAAGUACAGUUCUGAUGAUGUGUUUCAUGAGAAAGCGACGGAACUCCUCAUUCUCCUCAAUUUUUAUAGGUAUAUAGUAAUUUUGGAUUUUCAUCAAUAUCUUUAGCUUUUUUUAUUCACAUUAGUGGCAUUUGAUGAAGUGGAACUAGUGAUGUUGACUAAAACGGAACUCUUCAACGCGUGAGAUUUUAUUCUUUUUUUGUUUGUUGUGAUAUAAGAGGCAAACUAGUAGACGAAUCAACUGAUGGUAAGCAAUUACCGCUGGCCAUGGACAUCUGUUACACCAUAGGGAUUGUAAGUGCGGUGCCGGCAUUUAAGAUAGGAAUACGCUCUUUCCUUAAAGUUUUAAAGAUCGUAUUGGGCCGGAAAUACCGCAUGCGACAGAUCAUUUCAUAGUUUAGCUGUAUGAGGCAGGAAGUUUCUAGAGAAAUGCACAGUUGAGGAUUGCCAACCAUCUAAGUGGUGAAGAUAUAAAUGAUGUAGCGUAAAGCGGUGACGGAAAGAGGCGGCAGAGAUUAAUCCGAACAAUUCCUCGGAACUUUUAAGUUUGUAGAAAGUAAGGUUCUUAAGAAAUAUCUGUACUAGACACCAGUGUCUAGUGUCUAGGUCUGAUGAUGGACACCUCAAACCUUAUAGAAAUACAUAUAGUUUUUUUUUCAUCAAUAUCUCUAGGUGUUUUAUUUAAAAAAAGUUAUAUUUGAUCAAGUGAAACUGCUGAUGUUGUCCAGAACGGAACUUUUCAACGCACGCGUUUUGUAUUCUUUAUUAAGCUUGUAGCGAGUAACGUUCUUAAGGUGUAUUUAUAUCAAUGUUCAGUUCUGAUGAUGGGUCUCAUAAAUAAUCGAGGGAAUUCCUGACAUCUUAUAAUUUCUGGAUUCUUAUUUACAUAUCAAGCAUUUUUAUUAAAAUGUGACAUUUGACGAAAUGCAACAGCUGAUGCUGGCCAAAAUGGAACUCGCCAAUUCGCGCGCGAUAUGUUUUAUUUGUUUAUUUUGUAGCAAGUAAAGUUCUUGAAGACAUUUGUGUCAUAAGGUCUAGUUCUGAGGAUGGGUUCCAUGAGAAAUCGAAGAAAUUCCUCAAAUCUUAUAGGCAUACAAUACAUACAGUAAUGUUUGGAUUCUCGUCAACAUAUCAAGCAUUUUUAUUUAAACAAGUUAGUGAUAUUGACCAGAACGGAACUCUUCAACGCGCGCGAUUCUUAUUCUUUGUUAAGUUUGUAGCAAGCUAGGUUCUUAGGAAACAUUUGUGUCAAGGUCCAGUUCUGAUGAUGGAUUCAAUGAGGAAUUGAGGAUUUUAAAUCGAUUUGAAUUCACAAUUAGGAGGAAUUGAGGAUUUUCGUCAACAUAUCAAGUUUUUUUUAUUUGAACAAGUGACAUUUGAUGAAGUGAAACUGCUGAUAUUACUGAAACUAUGCUGAUACUGCUGAAAUGGAACUCUUCAACGACAAGUAUUUUACCUUAGGCGUUUUUUUUAUUUUAUUUCGUUUAUAGCAUGUAAGGCUUUUAAGGAACAUUUGUGUCAAGGUCCAGUUCUGAUGAUAGGUUCUACGAGAAACUGAAGGAGCUUCUCAUAUUGUAUAGGAUAGGCAUACAUAUAGUCAUUUUAGGAUUUUCAUCAAUAUUACACGCAUUUUUACUCAAUAAAGUGACAUUUGUUGAAGUAGAAUUGCUGAUGAAGAACGGAACACCUCAACGACUUCCAGAUUCUUUAUUUUUAUUACUCUUCUUUCUUUUUCAUUAUUCUUAGAACAGGUAUUUCUACGAAGUGAACCGAACUGCUACUAUUAAAAGUAGGUAGGUAGGUAGGUUAAAUAGGUUAAGACUGUAAGGAUUAUUAUGUAUAAGUAGUUUCUUUUAAUUAAACAUAGGUAAGUAAUUCUAUUUAAGUAUAAGUAUCUUUAAAAAAACAUCAAUCGACUCUUAUCUGUCACUAGUUCCAGUUUCAGAGUAUAAAAUCCGGGUACACAUGCAGCCACGGCUAGCUGGGUAGCCAGACAGUUCGAAUACGGACAAGUUAUUGUGAAUAAAAAAUCUUAUCGUCUUGCAAAAGUUAAUGUCAUAAAUGUAUAGGUUUCGAAUACAUGAAUAUAAAGUGAAAAUGCUGGUAAAAGUAUUAGUUUUUAUCAUUAACCAUUUUAUAUCCCAACAAAACUGUUACCCUUACAAAAAUAAAAUGCUUUCAUUACCUAAUGUAGGUUACGUUAGGUAAUAAAUAAAUAAAUAUGUAGGGACAAUCUUACACAGAUUGGCCCCAAACUAAUCAAAGCUUGUACUAUGGGUACUAGGCGACGUUAAACAUACUUAUUUAGAUAAAUAUAUAUUUACGUAUAUACAUAGAAAACACGCAAGCCUUAGGAACAAAUACGCGAUUCAAACUCGGGACCAUCGGCUUCAUAGGCAGGGUCACUACCCACUAGGCCAAACCGGUCGGCAAAAGGUAAAGAUAAUUAGGUAAAGACAAUGAAUAAUUAAACUUAUUAUAAAUUGACACCAAUAUCCAUCAAAUAGUAUAACUAGGUAUGCUAAGAGCGGGCUUCAGGCCAUUACGUCGCACCUUUAGAAUUAAAUUAAUUUGACUCAAAAAGUACGACUACUUUAUAUAUGUAGUUUGGUAGAACAGUAAGAACUCACUAUAUGUGUCUCUUUUUCAUGCGGUGAAAUCCCCCCCACCCGGAAAGGAUAGCGACGCCCAUUUUAUCGACUCUCGAGUCGACUCCAAUCUGAUACUAAUAAAACCAUACGGAAAUAAUGAGGAUGCAUCGACAUAAGAAGAAUCGAACAUGGGCAAGAUAAAGUUCAAGAAAAAAGCAAAUAUAAUGUGUACUUGUGUGUAGUCAAAGAAAGUUGAAAAAUAAAGCAUAAUUAAUGGCCAUAGAAUACAGAACCGAUACACGAACAUUAAGACUAUUAAAAAUAGACAUAUAGGUUGAUCGUACUACUCGUACUAAUGUAUAUCUUUUGUUCAAUUAUAUUAUUGCAUUAAAGUUAGAUUCUCUAGAUAUAUAUUAUUCAUAGGUUCUGUAUUCUAUACGAAUUGUUUCAGUGUAAUUAUUGUACUAAAUACCGUUGACCGCCUGUCAACAGUAUUUAUUUCUACAUUACUAUCACAGAAGAUUUUAGGCCCUACCGUACAGUUUUUGAAUUAGUAUUUACUAUGGACAAAUAUAGCGAAAUGUGAGUUUUUACCUAAAAUAUCAAUCUUUUGUGAACGUGGUGUAGAGUAUAUACCGCCUAAGACUGAAGUAGCUACGCGGGUUACGUUUUAAAAAUAGAAUCGUGUUCAUGGUCGGCCCAUGGUAAAAAUAAUUAGGUACCCGUAGACCCGCUGGUGAACACUGUUUAUGAUAACACUAAAUAAACCCCGUGGACCCACCAGGAGAACAUAUUGGAGAGACUAGAGAUAAUACACCGCUUUAAGGGCGGUCGCACUCGGCAUUGACAUCUGGCGUCUAGAUGGCGGGUGGACCUCAGCGAAUUUCAAAGAAAUAUUUAUAAACAUCCAAUGACGUUCGGCUCGGACACCAGAUCUUCAAUCUCCUGAUUCCUGUGGAGUCUCCAGGUUCCAUCCUCUCCACGUGUGAGUCCUAGGAUUUUUCGCGCUGCCAGACUCCGAUGACUCGGGCACGUAGUCCAGAUGGGUGAGGAUCGUGCAGCCUGGAGGGCGUACUCUGAAGUUCCAAAUGGCCGAAGACCGUCUAGACGUCCUAGGUAGGUCCCGCUGGAGAGACGAAAUGCAAAAAGACCUUAGCGAACUCGGCGCCGUCGACUAGAUGGAAACGGUUUUGGACAGAGAAGCAUGGCGGUCUUUGGUGUCGGAGGCCAAGAUCCACUUCGGGUCGCUGCGCCAUAGCAGUAAGUAUUUAUAAACAUACUGUACCUUAUGUGUACCUAACCCAAAACGAGAUAUUUAAGAAAAAGUCCACCCGCCAUUCUGACGUCAGGAUUGCGGUUGGACCUAUGAAAUCUUGCAUUAUACCGCACUAAAAGUAUGCAGUUAUAUGGUACAGUCGCCAUCAGAUAUAUCGGAGUGGCCGAGGUGCUCAAAGAUCUCUAAACACGCACUCUAACCUCUUGACAGUAGAGGCAUGUUCAGAUAUUCGUGGGUACCUUGGCCGCUCCGAUAUAUAUGAUGGUGACUGUACCUUCAGUGUACCUCUGUAAAUAGAAAUAGAAACCGGUGUACCUCUCCCCAAAACAAGCUAGGCUAAGCUCAUGCACAAUAUAACUGCAUACUUUUAGUGCGGUAUAAUGCAAGAUUUCAUAGGUCCACCCGCCAUCCUGACGUCAGGUUAGCGGGUGGACCGUUUUGUAAAAUAUCUCGUUUUGGGGAAAGGUACACUGGUUUCUAUUAAAGGUACACUGAGGUACACAGAAGGUACAAUAUGUUUAUAAAUAUUUCUUUGAAAUUCGCUGAGGUCCACCGCCAUCCUGACGCUUACCAUAUAUCUAAGGACCGACCUUAGGGGCAAUAACGAUAGUGCUAGUUCAGUUGUGUCAUUCACAAAUUCGAGCCAAUCGUGCUGUCUAACGCAACUAGAUGCGAUCAAUCGCGUGCGUAAUGCGAACUCAUCAACCAAUCACGUUGUGGUACUUGUGGCGUUAGACUGCACGAUUGGCUCAAACUCGUGUGCGUAACACCGCUGUACUGGCCCCAUUCUUAUUGCCCGUAAGGCCCGUCCUCAGAUAUAUUGUGUCAAUGACUGAAUGAUUUUAAAAAAUCACAUCGCUUCUGCUACCAAGUUGUUGAGCAUAACGUUUUCCUAUCCAUAGGUUCCAUCUGUCCAGUAGGAUCCACCAUCUCGAUUCACCAGAUUGAAGAGAUUGUUACUUAACUGAUGGAUCGAGAUAAUGAAACCUACUGAAUAGAGCGGGUCGAUUGGAUAUAACAAAGUACGCUUAUAUGAAACGCUACUCCGGUGUGCGAGUGAGACAGUCAGGCCAAUUUGAACUUGCAUUUGACAGAAAACUGUCUCCAUCAAACGCUACCAGUUCCAUUGCCGGCCUCUUUGCUGCCUUCUAUAGUGGUUCAAUCGUACCUUGCAUAAGCAAGGUACGAUUGAACCAUAAAAUAAAAUAAAAAGUAAAAUAAAAUUAUUCAUAAAAUAAAAAGGGGCGUGCACACCGAUAUUAGAGUAAUAUUGGAAUCAUAUCAGUUAGUUGCGGGCGUCUCGCUCGCACAAAUACAUGCGUAUAAGUGCGAAAUGAACGCACGAAUGACAGCUAACUGGUAUCAUUCCAAUAUUAUUCUAAAAUUGGUUUAAUGUCAGUUGCACUUUCGAAUUGGCCUACAUAGCGAUUUCCUUAGCCUGUACACCGGAUCGGCGUGUGGGCCGGCAUCUAGCUAAUGUAAAGCCACCUCAUUAGGUGCUUUUAGCCUUUUGAACGGCAAGAACACCUAAAGAUGUGGUGAGAGAAAGCCGCGCGUCCCUCAUGCACUGCACUAGCUUUACAGCUUGCAUUGCGACCAAUGUAUGCCGCUCACCGCCCCGCCGGUCGCGUGGGUCCAAUCCACGGCCCUAGAAGACGUACUUUACAUAUAAACAAGAGCACGCGAGCAUAUUGCGAGUUGUGUAUGUGUACUUCCCAACUAGCAAAAUUUCGUCAUAUAAUGGUUGCGGCAACGUUUCUGCGGUAUCCUUUUAGCUCUUACUAUUAGUCAUCAUUACGAAAUCAUUACGUUUAUAUGACGCGAUUUGGGCCCAUUUUAUUCAGCAUUUCAGUCAUAUAAAAGUUGUUUAACUGCAACCACCGCCACUUAUAGAUCUUAUAAUAACCACCGCCGUGACUAUCUUAUGACAAUUUAGCUGUAUAUUAGCAAAUUACAUGACUUAAAUAUGACUGAACUGAUCUGUAACUUCCAUUUAUAUGACAUAUUUGUGGAGUAAUCGCAUCCUAGGCUACUAAACAAUAGAAUAUAACUCGAUACUACACGCGCGAGUUGAGUGUUGACGGUAAGUAUUUUCUUUAUUAGUCAGCCAUGAUGUUACAUGUUUUUAUUAAGAAUGCUCAUAACAUCGGCGUAUGGUAGAAAUGUAUUGCGAAGGAAAGUUUAUUGAUGAAGUAAACUAUGUUUAAUAGUAAAUAUUUAAUGCCCCACUAUAAUUCUUAGUUAAUUAAAUAUAAAUUUAAUUAAUAUUGAUGAUUUUCUUGAACGCCGCGGUUAUACGGCAUUUAUCCAGUUAUAAGCUAUAUAAUCGCAUCUUAUAUAGCAAGUUUAGCGGUCAAAGCGCCAUUAUACAUAUUUUGUCGGACAUAUUUUAGGGUUCGUUAGAGUUUCUGAAAAAACCUUUUUACAGAUUUUAGUAUUUUAUUUCUAGAGACAAGUAGCACCGUGAAAUAUGGUCAUUGUAGCUGAUGUGGACUGUUUUUUAAGAAAAGAAGAUCAAUUGUGGAGUGAUACUGAUGUACAGUGGCCUUGGAGCGAGACUCAUUUCAUUUUGUCUUCGAUGUGUAUUGGAUGCGGAUACUCAACGUCCCCGUUGACAAUUGAUCCCACACAUUUUAUCAUAUCGGACAAUAAUAUAAAAAAUCUACACGACACCAUUUUUUUCUGGUGCCCAAACUGUUCAGAGUACGCUAUAUAUGAUCACUAUCCAUUAGAGGAAUGUGAGUUUUGUGUGAAUACUGACAAUACUGACAAUCAUCCCCAAAUCAUCCAAAUCUUCGGAUCCACUGCUCUCAUCAACAUUGAAUUGGAGUUCCAUUUCCUGUACGGAGCUAUCUUCUACAACGCCACCAACAUCAACGUGCAUGUUUUCCGACUCUGCAGUACUAGUUUUUUUUUCGGUCACAUUUGUUAUUUCUACGGAACCACUUGAAAAAUAGGCACUUGUCACUUCACUUCGGUUUACCGAAAUUCCUUGCGUAAGAGUAGUUUUUAAAUUGGUGAUAAUAGAUUGCCGCUUCUUUUUCAUUUUCCUCUUGUAUCCACCGGUCUUUUUCAUGUUUUUCCAUUGAAUCCAGUCCAUUUUCAUAUACUAAAUGUUUAUAUCCAAACAACGUGUCGGAUGUCUUUAAAUGAUGUUUAAGAGCUAUAACAAUCAUAAAAAGGUAGCAUUUAUACUAAAUAGUGGUAUAAUAGCAAAGUUGUAUCAUUUACUCAACUACGUUUAAUUCUGCUCCAAUAAAGGCAUAUAAAAUGUCAUUACUCGACCAAAUAGUCACAUGAGCAUCAGGUAGAGGUAAGUUAUUCAGCAAUAUCUAAAUCGCUGAAUAAGAUACUCAUAUAUAACAUGUUCUAUAAUUCCCGUUUAUAUGACAGCAUGUAACAUAUAUAGCUAUUUUGCUGUAUAAGUUACAUGAUGUCAUAUAAUAGCAAACUACAUUGCUUUUACUCGACUGCACUUGACAUGUCGUAAGUCAGAUAUAUAAGUCACUGUUACUCGACUAAAUAGUCAUAUAAGCCACGUAAAAAAGUGACUUAUUCAGCAUUUCUUAUAUGACUUAUUAGUCAUAUAAUCAAGUCGAGUAAACGUUUACUUGACUUGCUUACAUGACUGAUAUGCUGAGUAACUAAAAAGCUGCAUAAGCUGGCUUUAUACGACAUGUGCUGUAUAAUUCACGUCUACAUGACCUUUAUAUGAUUUAUUAGCUGAAUAAGCUCAAUCUUAUAUGACUACUUUGCUAGUUGGGUUGUGUUAUCUAGGCGCACAAACGGUUACAAUAACAAGAAGUGUACACCGCGUGUGCAGUCCAACACGGGAGCACGGGUGCGAUUCGAAAAUAACGCGCUAGCGACGCAUUACGACAUUGAUACUUUACCAUUCGAACGCCAUAAACAAAAACGUUACUCACACGCCAAGGUCACGGGCGCAAGUGAGCUUGAAAGUGCAUGAGUAUUACAUUAGGGACUUUGACAGCGAUUAUAACAGCUAUAAUCAUUAAUGUGUUCAUGGCCCUUAAAUCAUGUCUAGUGACGGCGCCUUUAGGUGUUCUUGACGUUCAAAAGGUUAAGGGCGUUUGCUAGCUGGCGCUAGUGCACGGAGCGGGCAAACACGCGCAGGUGCCUUUGUAAGUAAAAUCAGUCGCACGCGUCCGCGCCAGUUAGCGUUGCUGAUACUGUAAGCCGCACGCCCGCUCCAUGCACACGCGCGACGUUGCGGACGCCCUAUGCCCUAAACCUUACUUGAAAGUGUGAAGGUUACUCUGACAGCGGCUAUAUCAGCUAUAAUGUAUUUAUGACGCUUUGAGCAUAGCUAGUUAAGACGCCUUAAGGUAUUCUUGGCGUUUAAAAGGUUAAGGGCGUUUGCUAGCUGGCGCGAGUGCACGGAGCGGGUGCACGCGCGCGGGUGCCUUUGUAGGUAAAAUUCGUUGCACGCGUCCGCGCCAGUUAGCGUCGCCAGUUACUGUUUUUCGUUAACCCGCUCCAGCUAGCAAACUAAUCGCAAAUGGUCCGAGAUUGGCGCAAUAACCAUGCAUUCCCUUAUCUGGAUCUGGAUGCACCUAUUCACCAAUGCUUGCUUUAAAGUAACUUGUCGACUCGUCCUGAUAAUAUUUGUGCGACCGUGAAGAAAAUCUAUGCCGUCACUUAUUUUUCAAUUUAUAUGAAAUAAAGAUGUUAAAUGUA
Molecule: long non-coding RNA, 9115 nt
Organism: Cydia pomonella (codling moth)
Lineage: Eukaryota; Metazoa; Arthropoda; Insecta; Lepidoptera; Tortricidae
Exons: 2
Source: RefSeq, a predicted model, not a curated record